This 253-nucleotide ribosomal RNA is filed under the name uncultured bacterium. RNAcentral describes it as "partial 16S ribosomal RNA". It matches the Rfam family "Bacterial small subunit ribosomal RNA", at positions 524 to 776 of the family's 1533-position model. The record is from RNAcentral.
UACGUAGGGUGCGAGCGUUGUCCGGAAUUAUUGGGCGUAAAGAGCGUGUAGGCGGUCAGGUAGGUCCGUUGUGAAAACUCGAGGCUCAACCUCGAGACGCCGAUGGAAACCAUCUGACUAGAGUCCGGAAGAGGAGAGUGGAAUUCCUGGUGUAGCGGUGAAAUGCGCAGAUACCAGGAAGAACACCCGUGGCUAAGGCGGCUCUCUAGUACGGUACUGACGCUGAGACGCGAAAGCGUGGGGAGCGAACAGG